GUGUGGGCUCCUCCAUUGUUCUCCCCUCCCUACACCACUGAGAUUGCAGCCUGUCUAUUCUGGAAGAUGAGCUACACGUCUAUUCUGAGCCUGAGCAAAAUGUCUGACCAGCCUCAGAGCAAGCCCGCCAGUUACUGAUGAGCCUAGCGGUUCCCAUGUAAAACACCACACUGUACUUACAACAGCAUGGUCGAAACACCUUUUCUCUCUGGAAACACACGCGAGGACAAGGAACGUGUAAGUUGCAUGACCCUAAAGCGGAUGUACCAGCGGGCUGAGAGACAGAUCCACAGAUCUGUGGAGGUCCUGCUCUCCGAACCUGCUGCAGAAGUGGACCUGAGCAGUGCAGCCUCCGUGAAAGGGCUCAGUUCAGAUCUCCUCCUAUGAGGAGCAUGACUGCAAGUUCCAGCCGUUUCCUCUGUGCAUCCAUUACUGUGUUUGUGCGGGGACGAGGCUUCCCAUGCCGAUGACUGAGCAUGGCAAGCCCAGUAAGACAGGUAUUGGAGCUGCAUCAUGGUCUGAAGGCUUCCCUCACCUUCGUUUGCAUCCUCUCCAAUAAACCUCUUGCUUAUCUAAUUCUGUCUUA
This is a long non-coding RNA of Suricata suricatta (meerkat), 586 nucleotides long. RefSeq lists it as uncharacterized. NCBI's taxonomy places the organism in Eukaryota, Metazoa, Chordata, Mammalia, Carnivora, Herpestidae. The record is from RefSeq and is a predicted model, not a curated record. The transcript has 5 exons.